CGCGGAAUUUUAGAUAAUGGAGGGAACUCUGAUCUAGCGACGCCGCGUGCAGGAAGAAGGUCUUCGGAUUGUAAACUGCUGUGGUAAGGGAAAAAUGCCAUGUAGAGUGGAAAGCUACAUGGAGGGAUGGUACCUUACUAGAGAGCCCCGGCUAACUACGUGCCAGCAGCCGCGGUAAUACGUAGGGGGCGAGCGUUACCCGGAAUCACUGGGCGUAAAGGGAGCGUAGGUGGCCUAACAUGUCAACUGUGAAAACCCGGAGCUCAACUCCGGACUUGCAGUUGAAACUGGUAGGCUUGAGGACGGAAGAGGAAGACGGAACUGCCAGUGUAGGGGUAAAAUCCUUAGAUAUUGGCAGGAACGCCGGUGACGAAGGUGGUUUUCUGGGCCGGUUCUGACACUGAUGCUCGAAAGCCAGGGGAGCGAACGG
This 430-nucleotide ribosomal RNA is filed under the name uncultured bacterium. RNAcentral describes it as "bacterial SSU rRNA". It matches the Rfam family "Bacterial small subunit ribosomal RNA", at positions 355 to 775 of the family's 1533-position model. The record is from RNAcentral.